UUUAAAAUAAUGUAUUUAUGAGGAAUAAAUGCAAAUACAAAGUUACAAAUAAAUACAAAGUUUCAAUUUGCUGUUAUUUACCCUGGCCUCCAAAAAAACCCCACACAUUGAAGAAAAACAAGAAAAUGAAUUCGGAAAAUGUAGACUGCUCUUUUGGCUGAAAGUUACAGCAUCAUUUAGGAGUUUGCCUGCACAAGUUCCCUCUGUUUGCUUGCUGCCAUCCAUGUGAGAUGGGACUUACUCCUCCUUGCCUCCCGCCAUGAUUGUGAGUCUUCCCCAGCCACUGGAACUGUAAGUCCAAUUAAACCUCUUUCUUUUGUAAGUUACCCAGUCUCGGGUAU
Molecule: long non-coding RNA, 341 nt
Filed under: Homo sapiens (human)
Lineage: Eukaryota; Metazoa; Chordata; Mammalia; Primates; Hominidae
Description: HSALNT0101420
Source: RNAcentral